AGAGUUUGAUCCUGGCUCAGGAUGAACGCUGGCGGCGUGCUUAACACAUGCAAGUCGAACGCACCUUCGGGUGAGUGGCGGACGGGUGAGUAACGCGUGGGAAUCUGCCCUUAGGAGGGGGAUAACGGCUGGAAACGGCCGCUAAUACCCCAUAUGCCGAGAGGUGAAACGAAUUUCGCCUGAGGAUGAGCCCGCGUCUGAUUAGCUAGUUGGUGGGGUAAGAGCCCACCAAGGCGACGAUCAGUAGCUGGUCUGAGAGGAUGAUCAGCCACACUGGGACUGAGACACGGCCCAGACUCCUACGGGAGGCAGCAGUGGGGAAUUUUCCGCAAUGGGCGAAAGCCUGACGGAGCAACGCCGCGUGAGGGAUGAAGGCCUCUGGGCUGUAAACCUCUUUUCUCAAGGAAGAAGACAUGACGGUACUUGAGGAAUAAGCCACGGCUAAUUCCGUGCCAGCAGCCGCGGUAAUACGGGAGUGGCAAGCGUUAUCCGGAAUUAUUGGGCGUAAAGCGUCCGCAGGCGGCUCUGUAAGUCUGUUGUUAAAGCGUGGAGCUCAACUCCAUUUCAGCAAUGGAAACUACAGGGCUUGAGUGUGGUAGGGGCAGAGGGAAUUCCCGGUGUAGCGGUGAAAUGCGUAGAUAUCGGGAAGAACACCAGUGGCGAAGGCGCUCUGCUGGGCCAUAACUGACGCUCAUGGACGAAAGCCAGGGGAGCGAAAGGGAUUAGAUACCCCUGUAGUCCUGGCCGUAAACGAUGAACACUAGGUGUCGGGGGAAUCGACCCCCUCGGUGUCGUAGCCAACGCGUUAAGUGUUCCGCCUGGGGAGUACGCACGCAAGUGUGAAACUCAAAGGAAUUGACGGGGGCCCGCACAAGCGGUGGAGUAUGUGGUUUAAUUCGAUGCAACGCGAAGAACCUUACCAGGGUUUGACAUCCUGCGAAUCCCUUGGAAACUUGGGAGUGCCUUCGGGAGCGCAGAGACAGGUGGUGCAUGGCUGUCGUCAGCUCGUGUCGUGAGAUGUUGGGUUAAGUCCCGCAACGAGCGCAACCCACGUCUUUAGUUGCCAGCAUUCAGUUGGGCACUCUAGAGAGACCGCCGGUGAUAAACCGGAGGAAGGUGUGGAUGACGUCAAGUCAUCAUGCCCCUUACAUCCUGGGCUACACACGUACUACAAUGCUACGGACAGAGGGCAGCAAGCUCGCGAGAGUUAGCAAAUCCCAUAAACCGUGGCUCAGUUCAGAUCGUAGGCUGCAACUCGCCUACGUGAAGGAGGAAUCGCUAGUAAUCGCAGGUCAGCAUACUGCGGUGAAUACGUUCCCGGGCCUUGUACACACCGCCCGUCACACCAUGGAAGAUGGCCAUGCCCGAAGUCGUUACUCCAACCCUUGUGGAGGAGGACGCCGAAGGUGGGGCUGAUGACUGGGGUGAAGUCGUAACAAGGUA
This 1443-nucleotide ribosomal RNA is filed under the name metagenome. RNAcentral describes it as "bacterial SSU rRNA". It matches the Rfam family "Bacterial small subunit ribosomal RNA". The record is from RNAcentral.